Non-coding RNA from Acanthosepion pharaonis, 97 nucleotides. The record is from the annotation of a GenBank genome assembly. NCBI's taxonomy places the organism in Eukaryota, Metazoa, Mollusca, Cephalopoda, Sepiida, Sepiidae.
UUGAGAUACCGAUUCCUGUACUAUCACCGAAGUUAAGCAGCAUUGAGCCUGGUCAGUACUUAGAUGGGUGAUCGCUUGGAAAUACCAGAUACUGUAA